GGGCCCGCACAAGCGGUGGAGCAUGUGGUUUAAUUCGAUGCAACGCGAAGAACCUUACCAAGCCUUGACAUCCUCGGAACUUUCCAGAAAUGGAUUGGUGCCUUCGGGAACCGAGUGACAGGUGCUGCAUGGCUGUCGUCAGCUCGUGUCGUGAGAUGUUGGGUUAAGUCCCGUAACGAGCGCAACCCCUACCGUUAGUUGCCAGCGAUUCAAGUCGGGGACUCUAACGGGACUGCCGGUGCAAACCGUGAGGAAGGUGGGGACGACGUCAAAUCAUCACGGCCCUUACGUCCUGGGCUACACACGUGCUACAAUGGCUAGGACAGACGGCUGCAAACCAGCGAUGGGGAGCUAAUCCGACAAAACUUGUCGUAGUCCGGAUCGAAGUCUGCAACUCGACUUCGUG
RNAcentral lists this ribosomal RNA (406 nucleotides) under uncultured bacterium. RNAcentral describes it as "bacterial SSU rRNA". It matches the Rfam family "Bacterial small subunit ribosomal RNA", at positions 917 to 1322 of the family's 1533-position model. The record is from RNAcentral.